Molecule: long non-coding RNA, 3403 nt
Organism: Lemur catta (Ring-tailed lemur)
Lineage: Eukaryota; Metazoa; Chordata; Mammalia; Primates; Lemuridae
Exons: 3
Source: RefSeq, a predicted model, not a curated record
GCCCUGGUUCCCUGUGCUCCCACGUCAGGUGCCUUAGGGACCGACUUCUGGCCACGCCAGGCUUCCGUGACCACGGCUCUCCUGGUUCCCCUGAAGUGGAACCGGGCUCCGAGUGGAGCGUGACCCCCUGCCCGUGGGCGCAGGCCGGUCGAGUAAGCGUGUGGCGGCCCUAAACCCGGAUCUGAACCCGCAGUGAUCGGCGCAGAGGCACGGGGCGCAACGAAAUGAGCUUCACAAAAUUGUCGUUAAGCGCGAUGCUGGCUUUAGCAUCGAAGAUGGAGGAGUGGGUAUCGCUGAGGAAGUCCGUGGAGACGACCUGGACGUCAGAUUUAAAAGGAACAAUGCAUGUACUUGGAAUGGGCCAGAAUGGAAGCCCUCUCUGAGGGGUGGCCACGAGCCUGGGUCUGGCUGACUAGGAGGAUCUGGCCAACUUGGGCCCUCAAUCAAUACAUUGUCUGAGGUGGAAAGCGCUGCAGGCACAGAGGUCCUGAGGGUUUUAGCCCUAGUGUGGCUUCACACUAGGGGCCACAGGGGAGUUUUCAGCAGUGGAGUGAUACCAUCUGGUUCCAUUAAAAGAAGAAGUCCUGGAGGCUGUGUGGGAGUGGACCUGCAUAAGCUAAAGCAGGGAGACAGCACCAAGGUGGACAACAUACAGAGAUGGCACUUCUGAUGGUGACAUCAACUCCUCACACGGAAGGCACCAGCCAUGGCCUGGCCCCAGGCAAAUGCUAAAAAAUAGGAGCUGUUGUCUUUUGUUCACUGAGCAUGUUAUGAGCACUUGUUGUGUGCCAGGCUGGAAGGAAAUGAAAAGAUACUCCCUAAAUCUCUGCUUUCUUGGGGCAUGCACACGCUAUUGGGGCCAACAAUGACUGUGGAAUGAAAUUCCAGUUGAAGAAUGGGGCCACAAAAAGAACAUCUUUUUGAGGGGGUACUUUGCCGAGGAGGGAGGUUGAAAUAGAGACUUGGAUGAAGUAAGAGCCGACUGUGUGGCCACCUGGGUGGUAGGUUUUCCAGACCAAAAGCACAGCAAGUGCAAAGGCCCUGAGGCAGGGAGAUCUACCUUCCCAGCUCUGCAGUUUGUAUCUUGGCACAUUGAGGGCAGCUGUCUGGCAAGUGGAAAUCACAUGCCCUCCCCAGAGGGCUCCUCCCAGGGUCUUCCUCCUCAGUCCCUACCUCAUCCUCAGUGUAGGCAAGGAUGCCAGCCAUGGGCCCCUUGGCUGCUGCUUUUACAGCCUCCUUGAUGGCCGAGUAGGGGGUAGGCUUGGCCAAGCGGCAGGUCAGGUCCACGACAGACACGUCUGGUGUUGGUACCCGGAAGGCCAUUCCUGUUAGCUUCCUGGAGAAACCCAUGUCAAGGAUGGGAGUCAGAACUUAGGAAUGUCUCUCUCCAUUCCCCCUUACCCCAAGGGUUGGCCAAGGCCCCUGCUUUACCCUUAAGGAUUAAGGGCCAGUCCAGUCCUCAUACCCUUUGAGCUCGGGGAUGACUUUGCCCACAGCUUUGGCAGCCCCAGUGGAGGCUGGGAUGAUGUUCUGGUGGGCACCCCGUCCAUCUCGCCAGGCCUUCUUUGAUGGCCCAUCCACUGUCUUCUGGGUGGCCGUGUAGGAAUGGACUGUGGUCUUGGGGAAGAAGAAGGCCAAGGUAAGGCCUAAGCUCCCAUGCCUCUUUCCCCAGGCCUGGGAUGGUGGCCUGGGUGUGGAGGCUGGUGGGACCACCACCACAGACCACAGGAGGGGCUCAUGCAGGCCAUGGUCCAGCCUUGCCUGAGGGCUGUACAGUGUUUUAACAGACUUCUCCACUGGUGGGCCUUUCCUCCCAAAACCAGUCUCUUCCUGUUAAUUCCAUACACUAAGCAAGGCCUUUGAAGAAGAGGUUGGGUUUCCCUGCCAUCCCUCCUGCCCAAGCCCCUUAUUCCCAACUCACCAUCAGCCCUUCCACGAUCCCAAAACGCUCAUGGAUGACUUUGGCGAGUGGGGCCAAGCAGUUGGUGGUGCAGGAUGCGUUGCUGAAACAGCCCGGGCGUGCAGCGGCACUGUGAGGUGAGCUGUAGAGCUACGCUCCACCCUUACCCCUUUUAGAGUCUACACACAGGCCCGAUUUGGUGAAUAGUUGGGAAGGGGGUGAGAGGGAUCAGUGGGGCUGCCUCAAACCGAAGGAGCACGUGAGAGGCAGUUGGGGGAAGCUCCCUAAGCUUGUUUUCCAGAAGUCGUGUGUUUCUAACUGACAGUUUCAGGGUAGCGUUGACAUGAUAGCUAUGGAGACUUUGGGAAGGAGACGCAGAAACAGAUUGAUGUGAAAGAAGCAACAGAGACCUGGUGGGGGUGGCAGUGGGGAGGACAAGUCUCUACCCUCCCCUCCACAGGCUGGCGUGUCCUCCAGGGACCGCUCACAUUCUUAAGGAUGUUGCUGCCCUGUUACCUGACAAUGUUCAUGGAACUAGGGUCAUAGGUGUUUUCAUUCACACCCAUGACAAGCAUUGGUGCAUCUGGUGAGGGCGCGGAGAUGACCACACGCUGGGCGCCUGACGAGAUGUGGUCCUAGGGAGGAAGCGUGAGUGUCAGGUGCUUCAAGCACCACGGCCCCCCAGCCAGCCCUGGGCACCUGUUCCCCGCUUACCGAAGCUGCGUCUAGGGAGAGGUACACGCCUGUGGACUCUACCACAUAGGGGUUCCCGACAGUCUUCCAGGGGAUUUCCUUGGGCGCCUUGCUGCAGAGGGGUGGCAGGGCUGCGUCAGUCUCACCAGCGCAGGCUUUGCCACCCUAGUCCACAGCCUUCACCAUUGAAAAGGCUGACCAGAUGCAUUCCUGUAGGUACCAGCCCGCCCAAGCCCACCUGUGCCCCAGCCCCACACACGCCCAGCUGCCCCAGGUGGCAGCAACCCUGCUGGACUUGCUUUUUAUCACUGCCCCCCCCCUCGGGCCACUUUUCCUUUCUUGACUGCACCACUCCUGCUAUGCCUGGGUGAGGCGGCCACCUCCCCAACUCAGGCCUCGAUUCUCUCAGGGGGACCAUCCCUGACUACCAACCAGGUCAGACCCUUUCUAUGUAAGCUGCCCAGCAUGUGGGCCCUGUGACAGUGAGGCCUGCCCAGCUGCGUUCUGGUCUCCAGCCCCGACCACCUCUCCAUGAGCCCUCCCCUUGUGUCUUUACCCCUCAGCUCCUAUGACAGGGGCCAGAGAGCAGCUCUCGGGGGAGGACGAGUCUGAGGCCGCCUUGGGGCCAGCAGUGGCUAGCGGCUUACAUUAGAAAGAUAAAGGAGGUUUUCAGUUUCCUCUUUUGUAAGUUUACAUUUUUACUUAAUAUUUUGACAAACAUUUGUAUCUGGAACAUUACGUAUCUAAUAUUGCUGUUUUCUACUCGGCUUUAGCAAACAAGCAUUAAAUGAAUAAACUGUAUACAAAUAA